GAUGAACGCUGGCGGCGUGCCUAACACAUGCAAGUCGAACGAAGCACCUUACCUGAUGCUUCGGAUGAAAGUUUGGCGACUGAGUGGCGGACGGGUGAGUAACGCGUGGGUAACCUGCCCUGUACAGGGGGAUAACAGCUGGAAACGGCUGCGAAUACCGCAUAAGCGCACGAGGAGACAUCUCCUGGUGUGGAAGACUCCGGUGGUACAGGAUGGGCCCGCGUCUGAUUAGCUGGUUGGCAGGGUAACGGCCUGCCAAGGCAACGAGCAGUAGCCGGUCUGUGAGCAUGCACGGCCACACUGGAACUGAGCCACGGUCCCAACUCCUACGGGAGGCAGCGGUGGGGAAUAUUGCACAGUGAGGGAAACCCUGAUGCAGCAACGGCGCGUGAGUGGAGAAGUAUUUGGGUAUGUAAAGCUCUAUUAGCAGAGAAGAGAAUGACGGUACCUGACUAAGAAGCUCCGGCUAACUACGUG
Molecule: ribosomal RNA, 477 nt
Filed under: uncultured bacterium
Lineage: Bacteria
Description: partial 16S ribosomal RNA
Rfam family: Bacterial small subunit ribosomal RNA
Source: RNAcentral